UAUGCGCAUGUUGUUGCUGUGCAGCGCAAACGACGACGACAGCGACAAAUGUGUAGAUCAACAGAUCAGUCACUCGAAAAGCGAAACUAAAAAGUAACCAAAUAAAAAAAAUGAAACAAAACAAAAAGAACGUUUCGAAAAAGACAUUUUCCACCGAACAAACACACACACGGACACACAUAAAAGCCGCAGGUAUACAUAUCUGUAUCUGAGUGUGGAGUAUGUUUGUAUAAUCAUGUGAUACCAAAAUAAAGAAAAAUGUGAAAAUCAAAUAGCAGCGACAGCGGCCAGGGCACUAAAAGUCACAAGCAAAAGUGGAGCAAUAAAGCAAACAAACCCGACCAAUUUUCUGUUGCCAUGUACAACCCCAGACCACAACAGCACCAUCCUCAUCCCCAUCCCCAUUCCCAUUCCCAUUCCCAUCGCCAUCGCCAUACGCAUCCGCACUCCCACGAAACCAUCCCGUCAAAACCGAACCAUCAAACCAUCUUCAUCAUCGCCACUAUCACCAUCAACCCGUCCAAUGUCACAUGUAGUUUCGAAUCGGACUAGAAAUAUGCAAAUGCCGAGCACCGAAAUUGAAUGCAAUUAAAAGACACACACAAUAUCACAUCACACACAGUUUACAUAGGAAUCGUAUUGAAGAUAUCAGCUACAGUAUCUGUGACGUCCUAUACCUUCUGGUUGGAUAAGUCUUUAAGACACUUUUGACCUUGAGUGGG
This is a non-coding RNA of Drosophila melanogaster (fruit fly), 722 nucleotides long. The record is from Ensembl. Lineage: Eukaryota; Metazoa; Arthropoda; Insecta; Diptera; Drosophilidae.